RNAcentral lists this ribosomal RNA (270 nucleotides) under Klebsiella pneumoniae. Its description in RNAcentral is "partial 23S ribosomal RNA". It matches the Rfam family "Bacterial large subunit ribosomal RNA", at positions 780 to 1048 of the family's 2925-position model. The record is from RNAcentral. Lineage: Bacteria; Pseudomonadati; Pseudomonadota; Gammaproteobacteria; Enterobacterales; Enterobacteriaceae.
CCACUGUCGUUGAAAAGCCAGGGGAUGACUUGUGGAUAGGGGUGAAAGGCUAAUCAAGCCUGGUGAUAGCUGGUUCUCCCCGAAAGCUAUUUAGGUAGCGCCUCGGACGAAUACCAUAGGGGGUAGAGCACUGUUUCGGCUAGGGGGUCAUCCCGACUUACCAAACCGAUGCAAACUCCGAAUACCUAUGAGUACUAUCCGGGAGACAGACUGCGGGUGCUAACGUCCGUAGUCAAGAGGAAAACAAUCCAGACCGCCAGCUAAGGCCCC